UGGGGAAUAUUGGACAAUGGGCGAAAGCCUGAUCCAGCCAUGCCGCGUGUGUGAAGAAGGUCUUCGGAUUGUAAAGCACUUUAAGUUGGGAGGAAGGGUUGUAGAUUAAUACUCUGCAAUUUUGACGUUACCGACAGAAUAAGCACCGGCUAACUCUGUGC
Molecule: ribosomal RNA, 161 nt
Filed under: uncultured bacterium
Lineage: Bacteria
Description: partial 16S ribosomal RNA
Rfam family: Bacterial small subunit ribosomal RNA
Source: RNAcentral